GAUAAAAAAAACAUGGCGGCUGCUUGUUUCUUGACUUCGCUUCAACAUUUUAAACUCAUCAUGAACUCCCAAUAUGCAACAAAUAUACACAAUUUCAAGUCUAUUGUGUACGUACGGUUGGGAAGUAAUGUAUUUGCAUUCAAUUCUGACAGAAAAGUUUUGUGGCGAUUACCUGAAUUAAAUCAGUGCAUAUAGACCUCUAGAAAGAAGCCUACACAAGUUCCAGGAAAUACAAGAUGAAGAGUAUAAGUUGCCAUUAUAAAGGGAUAAUGUAGUCAGCACUAUGCCCAGCCACUUUUUUUGCUUUCCCCAAUGUCAAGUACCCAUCAGAGCUGAGUGUUCUCAGGUAAAUGGAACUUCAUGAAAAUUGAAGAAAAAUUAAUAACAAGUAAAUGAACAUGGUGUUAUGGGUUGCUGCAAUCACCACUUUAAUAGAAUUUUUCAAGGACAAUUUAAAUGUAGUAAAGAAAUAGGGAUGCCACUACAAAUCUGGUGAUGUCUUUUAUAUCUACACAAAGGAAUCAGUUACUAGCUUGUGCAAGCAUGAAAAAAAACAUGUAUAAUGUAAAUGUAACUUUACAUUUGAACAAAGCUAUGAAAGUAACAUUUCUUCAUGUGAAUGUCCCAGAGGAGCUAACAGGUGUUCACAGACUGCUGUACAGUUUUGCCUUGUUUAUUCACCAAGAAACCCCAUGUACAACUUAUGAAAAUGCUGUGUAGGAUCUGCUUUUGGUUUCUCAACGCCAGAAAGACAAGAUGAAGAGUAUAAGUUGCCAUUAUUUUAAGAUAUUUUAUUUUAGAAUAUACUGAUUUUGAGAUAAUUUUGAUUUUGAUGAAAUUGAUUGUUUAAAAAAAAUCAAUGUUUAAAAUAAAGUCCAAAUAAAUAAAAUAUAUUAGAUAACAUUAGGCCAAUGAAACAAAACCCUCAUAUUUGCCAUAAUUAUUUAUAUCAAACAACAUAAUUAAAAUACUAAUGUAUGUAAAAUUAGUUAAUUGCAUACAAUUUUCUUUACCACAUUGACAAUUUGUAUUUAUGAUGAAAUUAUAAGCUCAUAAUUAUAUCAAAAUAAUAAUAA
Molecule: long non-coding RNA, 1076 nt
Organism: Physella acuta
Lineage: Eukaryota; Metazoa; Mollusca; Gastropoda; Physidae
Source: RefSeq, a predicted model, not a curated record